GGUUAAGUGACUAAGCGUACACGGUGGAUGCCUUGGCAGUCAGAGGCGAUGAAAGACGUAGUAACUUGCGAUAAGCCCAGAUUAGGUAGUAACAACCAUUUGAGUCUGGGAUUUCUGAAUGGGGAAACCCACGUGCAUAAGCACGUAUCCUUACCUGAAUACAUAGGGUAAGGAGGCGAACCGGGGGAACUGAAACAUCUAAGUACCCCGAGGAAAAGAAAUCAACCGAGAUUCCGAAAGUAGCGGCGAGCGAAAUUGGACUAGCCCUUAAGCUUUACACGCGUUAGACGAACGGUCUGGAAAGUCCGACGAUACAGGGUGAUAGUCCCGUAGUUGACGACGUGUGUUCAGUGAAAUCGAGUAGGGCGGGACACGUGAUAUCCUGUCUGAAUAUGGGGGGACCAUCCUCCAAGGCUAAAUACUACUGACUGACCGAUAGUGAACCAGUACCGUGAGGGAAAGGCGAAAAGAACCCCUGUGAGGGGAGUGAAAUAGAACCUGAAACCGUGUACGUACAAGCAGUAGGAGCAGGCUUUGUCCUGUGACUGCGUACCUUUUGUAUAAUGGGUCAGCGACUUAUAUUCAGUGGCAAGGUUAACCAUCUAGGGGAGCCGUAGGGAAACCGAGUCUUAACUGGGCGUUCAGUCUCUGGAUAUAGACCCGAAACCAGGUGAUCUAGCCAUGGGCAGGUUGAAGGUUGAGUAACAUCAACUGGAGGACCGAACCGACUAAUGUUGAAAAAUUAGCGGAUGACUUGUGGCUAGGGGUGAAAGGCCAAUCAAACCUGGAGAUAGCUGGUUCUCCCCGAAAGCUAUUUAGGUAGCGCCUCGGACGAAUACUACUGGGGGUAGAGCACUGUUAAGGCUAGGGGGUCAUCCCGACUUACCAACCCUUUGCAAACUCCGAAUACCAGUAAGUACUAUCCGGGAGACACACGGCGGGUGCUAACGUCCGUCGUGGAGAGGGAAACAACCCAGACCGCCAGCUAAGGUCCCAAAUUACUACUAAGUGGGAAACGAUGUGGGAAGGCUCAGACAGCCAGGAUGUUGGCUUAGAAGCAGCCAUCAUUUAAAGAAAGCGUAAUAGCUCACUGGUCGAGUCGGCCUGCGCGGAAGAUGUAACGGGGCUAAGUAGUAAACCGAAGCUGCGGCAAUAUACUUUUGUAUAUUGGGUAGGGGAGCGUUCUGUAAGCGGUUGAAGGUGUGUGGUAACGCAUGCUGGACGUAUCAGAAGUGCGAAUGCUGACAUGAGUAACGAUAAAGGGGGUGAAAAACCUCCUCGCCGGAAGACCAAGGGUUCCUGUCCAACGUUAAUCGGGGCAGGGUAAGUCGACCCCUAAGGCGAGGCCGAAAGGCGUAGUCGAUGGGAAACGGGUUAAUAUUCCCGUACUUCUUACAAUUGCGAUGGGGGGACGGAGAAGGCUAGGUGGGCCUGGCGACGGUUGUCCAGGUUCAAGUGCGUAGGCUUAAGAGUUAGGUAAAUCCGGCUCUUUUUAAGGCUGAGACACGACGUCGAGCACCUACGGGUGUGAAGUCAUUGAUGCCAUGCUUCCAGGAAAAGCCUCUAAGCUUCAGAUUGUAAGGAAUCGUACCCCAAACCGACACAGGUGGUCGGGUAGAGAAUACCAAGGCGCUUGAGAGAACUCGGGUGAAGGAACUAGGCAAAAUGGUACCGUAACUUCGGGAGAAGGUAC
This 1693-nucleotide ribosomal RNA is filed under the name Vibrio parahaemolyticus. RNAcentral describes it as "partial 23S ribosomal RNA". It matches the Rfam family "Bacterial large subunit ribosomal RNA", at positions 1 to 1749 of the family's 2925-position model. Lineage: Bacteria; Pseudomonadati; Pseudomonadota; Gammaproteobacteria; Vibrionales; Vibrionaceae. The record is from RNAcentral.